This 252-nucleotide ribosomal RNA is filed under the name uncultured Sphingomonas sp. RNAcentral's name for it is "partial 16S ribosomal RNA". It matches the Rfam family "Bacterial small subunit ribosomal RNA", at positions 160 to 428 of the family's 1533-position model. The record is from RNAcentral. Lineage: Bacteria; Pseudomonadati; Pseudomonadota; Alphaproteobacteria; Sphingomonadales; Sphingomonadaceae.
ACGCUAAUACCGGAUGAUGUCUUCGGACCAAAGAUUUAUCGCCUAUGGAUGGGCCCGCGUUGGAUUAGCUAGUUGGUGAGGUAAAGGCUCACCAAGGCGACGAUCCAUAGCUGGUCUUAGAGGAUGAUCAGCCACACUGGGACUGAGACACGGCCCAGACUCCUACGGGAGGCAGCAGUGGGGAAUAUUGGACAAUGGGCGAAAGCCUGAUCCAGCAAUGCCGCGUGAGUGAUGAAGGCCUUAGGGUUGUAA